GACAGAGGCCCUAAGGCUAGAAGGAGGGAAGGCAGGUAAGGAGGGUCCUCCUGGGCUACAGGAGAGGAGCUGAGAGCCUGCAUUCAAGGGGAAGCAGGGAGAACUUAGGAAUGGAUGAGAUAAGUGAGAGGGAUUUUUAGAAGGAAGAAUCCUUAGGUUUGGAUGUGGAACAGGUCAAGAGAAGAAGGACUCUAAGAACUCCUCUCAGUUUCCGGCUUAGACAAAUUGCACAGAAGGUGACAGCAUCAGGUGACACAGUGAAGAUGAACGGGGCAGUCUGGAGCUUGUGUGAAGGCCUUAGGGGACACCUGGGUGACAAUGCCCAUGUAGGCAUUUGAAUAUAGAUGGUCCCUGAAUUACAAUGGUUUGACUUACAUUUUUUUUUUUUUUUUUUACUUUAUGAUGGUGGGAAAGUGAUAUGUAUUCAGUAGCCACCAUACUUCAAAUUUUGAAUUUUAGUCUUUUCCAUGGCUAGUAAUAUCUAGUAUGAUACUCUUUCAAGACACUGGGUCAAGUCAUCAACACAAAGCCUGUCUAUAAUAAAGGAUUGAAUAGCUCAUGUAACUUAUUGAAUACUGUGCUGAAAGUGCUUUGAUCAUGUUUAAGCAAAAAGGAAAAACAAAUGGAAAAAGAACCAGCCAUUGUAUCUGAUGCUGCUUCAAACAUUUCAUCACAGAAGUACAUUGAUAGUUUAAAAAAUAGCUACGCGGGAAGAGAACAUCAGAUGAUGAGAAUAAAAUUUGCAUAAGGCAUCCUACUCCUGGGAGCUGAAAGAAAAGGAGUGAGAAGCUACAUUCCCCCAAGCCCAGAGCAGAAUCUCAGUGUAUUCAUUUCCUGCCCAGCCUCCCUUUGGGGAGAGGAGAGCCUUUUGUUCCUCUGCUGGUGAGGACAGAGUUAACAUGACCCAGAAGAGACACAAUGAAGUCUUUCCCCUCUUCUUAUUCUGGCAUGCCUACUCUUCACUUCAAUGUCUAUUUGCACAAUCAUAAAUUCUGAACUCAGGAGGAUAAUCCCAGCCAAAGUCUACAUGUGCCGGAUACCAUAAUGUAAACUGCAUAUGUUGCAAGAAGCUGUUAAAUGGAACCAG
Molecule: long non-coding RNA, 1087 nt
Filed under: Homo sapiens (human)
Lineage: Eukaryota; Metazoa; Chordata; Mammalia; Primates; Hominidae
Description: HSALNT0346163
Source: RNAcentral